Molecule: ribosomal RNA, 372 nt
Filed under: Urotricha sp.
Lineage: Eukaryota; Ciliophora; Prostomatea; Prorodontida; Urotrichidae
Description: partial small subunit ribosomal RNA
Rfam family: Eukaryotic small subunit ribosomal RNA
Source: RNAcentral
AGCUCCAAUAGCGUAUAUUAAUGUUGUUGCAGUUAAAAAGCUCGUAGUUGAAUUUCUGGUUAAGAUAUUAGCUGGCUUCGGUCGUUAAUGUGUUAAUCAUCCGUUAGAGAACUAUAAACGUCCUUAACUGGUCAUUAUAGAGAUCUAACAUUUUACUUUGAAAAAAUUAGAGUGUUCAAGGCAGGCAAUCGUCAUGAAUACUAUAGCAUGGAAUAAUGGAAUAGGACUUUGGUUCAUUUUAUUGGUUAUUGAACCUUAGUAAUGAUUAACAGGGACAGUUGGGGGCAUUAGUAUUUAAUUGUCAGAGGUGAAAUUCUUGGAUUUAUUAAAGACUAACUUAUGCGAAAGCAUUUGCCAAGGAUGUUUUCAUUA